AAUUCACCCCGUCUGCUCCCCCCGCCCUUGCCUCUUUCUGCAUCCUCACCCUGCCCAGGUGUCCCCCAUCUGAGCGCGCGGGAACCCGAAGAAAAGACUGAGCCACGUUAAGGCGGGGGUUGGCAGAGGCCUUUGGGCCUCCCGGGACCCCUCUAAACACAAAAACAAUUCAUCUCCCCCCCGGUUCGCAAGCUCGGGGCUCCUGGGAAGGACCAUCCUUUGCCUGGAGACAAUCUCUGGACAGAUUUGGGUUCAAAUCCCAGCGUCAUGAUCAUGCCUUGGGGGAGCCCCACGUCCAAAGAGCGCCUCAUCUGUGAAGUGGGAUUUACCCUACCCACCCCUCGGUGUUGAUGAAAUUGAGACCGUGCGUGCCAAGUGUUGAGAACACAGUAAGCGCUUAAUAAACGUUAGCGGCUGUCAUGCUUAAUGUUAUUGCCUUUGUUACAACUGACUCGCUGUGGGCCCGAAGGAUCCUGUGGCUGCUGAGCCUCAGUCUUCCCCGCUGUAAAAUGUAGACCGUACUCUUCUUCAGAGCUGUUGCAUGCAGGUGGCGUUCCAUAAAUGCAGCAGGCCCGUGCCCAAGCGGAGGAGAGUGGAGGUCUCUUCGGAGCUUCUCCAGGGUCUCUGGAGUCUCUAGAGCGUGCAGCUUGGCUCGAGGCCGACCCCGCACUCCCUUGGAAACCCGGAUGUCAGCUCCCCAAGGAUCAUUGUCUGUCUUGUCCUCUGCUGAGUCCGUGGCUCCUACAACAGUGUCUAGCGUGUGGAAAGGGCUCAGUUGUUGUUUCUGUAGCGGGGGAGGGGAGUGAACGUGGGAAGGUGAAUACACGUGACCUCCAUUUUAACUAUGAGGUAUGUCUUUUUAUUUAAAAAAAAUUUUUAAUUAAGUUUAUUUAUUUUGAGAGAGAACACAUGCGCAGGAGAGGCAGAGAGAGGGAGAGAGAGAAUUCCAAGCAGGCUCCGCACUGUCAGCGUGAGGAACCCCAUGUAGGGCUCGAACCCACAAACCCGUGGGAUCAUGACCUGAGCUGAAAUCAAGAGUCAGAUGCUUAACCGACUGAGCCACCCAGGUGCCCCUAUGUCUUUUUAUUUUUCAUUGUUAAUUAUUUUGAUGGAGGCACAACUUACAUAUGGUCAAGUACACAGAUCCUUUGGUGUGCAGCUCUGAAUUAAAAAAAAAAUUUUUUUUAACGUUUAUUUAUUUUUGAGACAGAGAGAGACAGAGCAUGAACAGGGGAGGGUCAGAGAGAGGGAGACACAGAAUCUGAAACAGGCUCCAGGCUCUGAGCGGUCAGCACAGAGCCCGACGCGGGGCUCGAACUCACGGACCGUGAGAUCAUGACCUGAGCUGAAGUCGGACGCUUAACCGACUGAGCCACCCAGGCGCCCCUUUAAUGUUUAUUUUUGAG
This is a long non-coding RNA of Neofelis nebulosa (Clouded leopard), 1406 nucleotides long. RefSeq lists it as uncharacterized. The transcript has 3 exons. NCBI's taxonomy places the organism in Eukaryota, Metazoa, Chordata, Mammalia, Carnivora, Felidae. The record is from RefSeq and is a predicted model, not a curated record.